Long non-coding RNA from Seriola aureovittata, 553 nucleotides. RefSeq lists it as uncharacterized. Lineage: Eukaryota; Metazoa; Chordata; Actinopteri; Carangiformes; Carangidae. The transcript has 4 exons. The record is from RefSeq and is a predicted model, not a curated record.
UGCAGCAGCAACUAUCAUGAAUAGACCUCUGUGUCACACACAAUAACUGCUGAAUACAGACGGAUAAUAUAUAUUAUAUCAGUGGAUAUGAAUGAUUAAUAUGACCCCGGUUUGAAUAGAGCAGAGUGAAAAGACUCCUGUCAUGUUCUCUUCUCUGCUUCACUUCAAACUGCAGAGAAGCUCAAACAAGAGAAGCUUUGAGCUGUUGUUGUAUUUCAUUGCGAGUAUGUGUGUGGCAGAUAACAGCAUGUCAUGGAGGGAGAUCAGAGCUGCGACAGACCGAUGGCACUCUGUCAGGGACGACUGGAGGACGCUGCUCUCAUUGUGAUGAUACGAGAGGUGCAUCAGGACAGCUGCUCAGCUGAUUGGGCUCCCGAGCGAUGGAUUGAAAGGUUGGAUUUCAGCAUGGCUCCUUUACCUCGCUCUCCAUUGCAGUUUUUUCCCAACAAUGUAUUUCCUCAAGAGGUCCUUGACCUGCUCUUCACUGUCAGAGUCCCUACUUCCCACAGUUCCCCCAAUAAGUUCAUCACUCCAACUAUUUUCGACUCAUCUA